This 1412-nucleotide unclassified non-coding RNA is filed under the name uncultured fungus. Its description in RNAcentral is "sequence contains 18S rRNA gene, ITS1, 5.8S rRNA gene, ITS2, 28S rRNA gene". The stretch from base 473 to 1412 matches the Rfam family "Eukaryotic large subunit ribosomal RNA", at positions 1 to 961 of the family's 3401-position model. Lineage: Eukaryota; Fungi. The record is from RNAcentral.
GGAAGGAUCAUUAUCAAAAGUCAGUCGGGAGCCCUUGUGGCUGCCGUCUACACCCAAGUCUUUUGUGUACUCUUUGUUUCCUCGGCGGCGUAAGUCGCCGAAUGGACAAACUAAAACCUUUUUGUAAUUGCAAUCAGCGUCAUUAAAUAUAAUAAUAUUUACAACUUUCAACAACGGAUCUCUUGGUUCUGGCAUCGAUGAAGAACGCAGCGAAAUGCGAUAAGUAGUGUGAAUUGCAGAAUUCAGUGAAUCAUCGAAUCUUUGAACGCACAUUGCGCCCCUUGGUAUUCCAUGGGGCAUGCCUGUUCGAGCGUCAUUUGUACCCUCAAGCUUUGCUUGGUGUUGGGCGUCUUGUCGGAUUAUCCGACUCGCCUUAAAUACAUUGGCAGCCGGCACUUUGGCCUAGGAGCGCAGCACAUUUUGCGAUCGUAAGCCGUUGUGACAGCAUCCAUAAGAUAUAUUUUACCACGUUUGACCUCGGAUCAGGUAGGGAUACCCGCUGAACUUAAGCAUAUCAAUAAGCGGAGGAAAAGAAACCAACAGGGAUUGCCCUAGUAACGGCGAGUGAAGCGGCAACAGCUCAAAUUUGAAAUCUGGCUCUUUCAGAGUCCGAGUUGUAAUUUGCAGAGGGCGCUUUGGCGUUGGCAGCGGUCCAAGUUCUUUGGAACAGGACGUCACAGAGGGUGAGAAUCCCGUACGUGGUCGCUAGCCAUCACCGUGUAAAGCCCCUUCGACGAGUCGAGUUGUUUGGGAAUGCAGCUCUAAAUGGGAGGUAAAUUUCUUCUAAAGCUAAAUACUGGCCAGAGACCGAUAGCGCACAAGUAGAGUGAUCGAAAGAUGAAAAGCACUUUGGAAAGAGAGUCAAAUAGCACGUGAAAUUGUUGAAAGGGAAGCGCUUGCAGCCAGACUUGCCUGUAGUUGCUUACCUAGACUUUUGUCUGGGGCACUCUUCUGCAGGCAGGCCAGCAUCAGUUUGGGCGGUUGGAUAAAGGUCUCUGUCACGUACCUCCCUUCGGGGAGGCCUUAUAGGGGAGACGUAAUGCAACCAGCCUGGACUGAGGUCCGCGCAUCUGCUAGGAUGCUGGCGUAAUGGCUGUAAGCGGCCCGUCUUGAAACACGGACCAAGGAGUCUAACAUCUAUGCGAGUGUUUGGGUGUCAAGCCCAUACGCGUAAUGAAAGUGAACGGAGGUGGGAACCUUAGGGUGCACCAUCGACCGAUCCUGAUGUCUUCGGAUGGAUUUGAGUAAGAGCAUGGCUGUUGGGACCCGAAAGAUGGUGAACUAUGCUUGAAUAGGGUGAAGCCAGAGGAAACUCUGGUGGAGGCUCGCAGCGGUUCUGACGUGCAAAUCGAUCGUCAAAUUUGGGCAUAGGGGCGAAAGACUAAUCGAACUAUCUAGUAGCUGGUUCCUGC